This 87-nucleotide ribosomal RNA is filed under the name Calystegia sepium (hedge bindweed). RNAcentral's name for it is "partial 5.8S ribosomal RNA". It matches the Rfam family "5.8S ribosomal RNA", at positions 73 to 154 of the family's 154-position model. From Rfam's summary of the family: 5.8S ribosomal RNA (5.8S rRNA) is a component of the large subunit of the eukaryotic ribosome. Lineage: Eukaryota; Viridiplantae; Streptophyta; Magnoliopsida; Solanales; Convolvulaceae. The record is from RNAcentral.
UGCAGAAUCCCGUGAACCAUCGAGUCUUUGAACGCAAGUUGCGCCCGAAGCCGUCAGGCUGAGGGCACGUCUGCCUGGGCGUCACGC